Molecule: ribosomal RNA, 716 nt
Filed under: uncultured fungus
Lineage: Eukaryota; Fungi
Description: LSU rRNA
Rfam family: Eukaryotic large subunit ribosomal RNA
Source: RNAcentral
AAAUACAUGAUUCCCCANUACUGCGAGUGAAGAGGGACAAGCUCAAAUUUUAAAUCUGUCGGGUUCUCCUGNACCGAGUUGUAAUUUGAAGAAGCGUUUUCCGCGCCGUUUGAUCAGCCCAAGUCUUAUUGAAUGAGGCAUCAUGGAGGGUGAUAAUCCCGUUCGGUUGAUCAAUUGUGCUUUACGAUACGCUUUCAAAGAGUCAAGUUGUUUGGGAUUGCAGCUUAAAAUGGGAGGUAAAUUUCUCCUAAGGCUAAAUAUUGGCGAGAGACCGAUAGCGAACAAGUACCGUGAGGGAAAGAUGAAAAGAACUUUGAAAAGAGAGUUAAACAGUACGUGAAAUUGUUGAAAGGGAAACGAUUGAAGCCAGUCGUACCGGCGGGUAAUCAGCCCUUCGGGUAUGAUUCUGUGGAGCGUGAGGAGUUAAACGCCUUCAUGCCUGCAUAUUCGUGCUCUUGGGUGUACUUGCUCGUGUGGUUGGUUAACAUCAAUUUCGGAUAUCAUAAAAUGGCUGGAGGAAUGUAGCUUCGAUUUCGAUUGAAGUGUUAUAGCCUUCGGCAGAUGUGAUGAUCGUGAUUGAGGAUUGCAACGGAUACCCUUCGGGGCUACCUGUCUGAUCUCUGAUCGUUGCUCUGGUGCCGAAAGCGUGCUUACGGUUAUCAAAGUCGAUGGUCAAUAGGUUAGAAUGGGUUAAAUUCGUUAAGGAUGUUGACGUA